This 274-nucleotide ribosomal RNA is filed under the name uncultured bacterium. Its description in RNAcentral is "partial 16S ribosomal RNA". It matches the Rfam family "Bacterial small subunit ribosomal RNA", at positions 523 to 796 of the family's 1533-position model. The record is from RNAcentral.
AUACGGAGGGUGCAAGCGUUAUCCGGAAUCAUUGGGUUUAAAGGGUCCGUAGGCGGGCAAAUAAGUCAGAGGUGAAAUCCCACAGCUUAACUGUGGAACUGCCUUUGAUACUGUUUGUCUUGAGUUAUAGUGAAGUAGAUAGAAUAUGUAGUGUAGCGGUGAAAUGCAUAGAUAUUACAUAGAAUACCGAUUGCGAAGGCAGUCUACUAACUAUUGACUGACGCUAAUGGACGAAAGCGUGGGGAGCGAACAGGAUUAGAAACCCUAGUAGUCC